Molecule: long non-coding RNA, 1554 nt
Filed under: Sorghum bicolor (sorghum)
Lineage: Eukaryota; Viridiplantae; Streptophyta; Magnoliopsida; Poales; Poaceae
Description: long non-coding RNA (SBIC_LNC014789)
Source: RNAcentral
CCGAAUUUUUCUUCACAAGCGAUGAAGCAUGCUCUUACCCAAACUCAGCUUGAAAAGAGUCAGCUGCUCCAAAAUGCUCUGAGCUCACACCACAUUACCAGCUGGUCCUUAGCUAUAACAUUAGAGGAUAAUAAUGCUGGUUACAUGCAUACCUGUUGGCCUCCAGAACACAAUCACGCAACCUUGAUCAGUGGCUAACCUACGAAAAUGAGAAAUCAAACCGGAACGGGAUGAAUGAAGAACACAAUGCGCGCACAGAUAUGGCAACUGUUGGCUGACAGAGUUAUUUUCCUUUGAUUAUUAGUUUGAAUAAAUUAAUCAACUUCUAACUAGUGUAAUGUCCUGGCUAUUAAUACCAUAGCUAAUACACAUAACACACUUAAACAAAACCCCUAAAACAUGGAUACAUUAAUUAUGCCUUCAAUCACUAGUACAGGGAAGGGCUUUAGCCCCGGGCCGUAAGGGCCUUUAGUCCCGGCUACGGAGCCGGGGCUAAGUUUUCGGGACUAAAUGUCCCACCUUUAGUCCCGCUUCCGAGGACCGGGACUAAAGGUCCACCUUUAGUCCCGGUUGGUAACAGCAACCGAGACUAAAAGGUGCGCCAGGGGUGUGCCACCUGGCCUCCACUUUUAGUCCCGGUUGUUGCUAGCAGCCAGGACUAAAGACUUUUUUCUUUUUUCUUUUUCUUUUCAUUUGGUUUUCCAUUUAGGGUUUACAAUUAUGUUAUUGUUAUUUUCGAAUGCGUAUUGUUUGCUGUUGUUUAUGGAACGCGCACCUAUAAUUUAUAUAAUUUAAAGCAUUACAUAUAAAUAUACUAUAAAACACUACAUAUAUAUAAUAUGUAUCUAUAGGUCCAUAAUAUAAUAUUUACACAUAUGCUUCACGGACAAAGUAUUUACAACACAAUUUAUCUCCGCCACUCAAGCAUCGUACAAAUGAUCAUCGUUAUUUGGUUUCAUUGGCUCCUGAGGGUUGAAGUAGCACUCGCCACCGGGAUUCAGGACUUGGUCGUUAAGAAAUCCUACGAUUGUCUCCUGAAUUCCUUUUAGGCGCACCGCAUCCAACACCUGCUCCUUCAGCCACAUCUCCUUUAAUAGAUAUUAAAGAAAAAAAGUUAGAGGUAUGAAUAGGAUUUAUUAAAUAGCCACAAAUAAUUGAAAUAAACUUAUUAUAUAUACAUGUUACAUACUUUUAGGUGCUCAAGAUUAGUUCUUUUGGCAUAGACCGUCAUAAACUCGCACACAUAGUAGCUACACAAAUUGUUGCCCGGUGUCUGCCGUAGAACCCACUGAAGUAAGAUGGGCUUUGAAAGUGCUGCAUUCAACUCUGGACGGUGUUUCUGCACGAACCCAGCCCAAACCCUAGCAACAAAACGAUCAUUAUUAAUUAUCUAUUACCAAGUUAAAAGAGCAUAAUUUAAUAUAUAGAGAUCGAAGUUACCCUUGGAUAAUAUCUAUCAUUUCUUGGUAAUCGUCCUGUGGUUUUCUCAACGAGUCAUAGAUUACAAUUGACAUUGCCAGAGAUCAAUGACAAUUAGUAUCCAAUGAAAGCUGC